This 253-nucleotide ribosomal RNA is filed under the name uncultured bacterium. RNAcentral's name for it is "partial 16S ribosomal RNA". It matches the Rfam family "Bacterial small subunit ribosomal RNA", at positions 524 to 776 of the family's 1533-position model. The record is from RNAcentral.
UACGUAGGGUGCAAGCGUUAAUCGGAAUUACUGGGCGUAAAGCGUGCGCAGGCGGUUUUGUAAGACAGGCGUGAAAUCCCCGGGCUCAACCUGGGAACUGCAUUUGUGACUGUAUAGCUAGAGUACGGUAGAGGGGGAUGGAAUUCCGCGUGUAGCAGUGAAAUGCGUAGAUAUGCGGAGGAACACCGAUGGCGAAGGCAAUCCCCUGGACCUGUACUGACGCUCAUGCACGAAAGCGUGGGGAGCAAACAGG